UAUAUUCUCUAAAUAUCUCUUUGCCCUACAUCAUCAAACUUUCUUUAUUUCCUUCUCUCACCGUCUCUUUAUUUUCUCUAUCAUCAAGCUUUCUUUUUUCAAAUCUCUCUGUCUCUCUCUUUCUUUCAUCUAUCAUGAUCAUCGGACACAGCUCCUAGUAAGGAAGAGAGAAUAAAAACAACGUCAGCGCCAACAGAGGAGGCGCAAUUUUUUUUAAAAUUAAAGCUUAUGUACUUACAGAGAUGCAAAGGUUUUUGGUUCACUAAAUGCACAACAGCUACGUAAGGACGAAGAUUUUAUUUUACACGGGAAGAGAGGAUUGUUUUUUUUUCUUUUUUUGGCUGUUUUUGUAAAGCUAAUGUUUUUAAUUUUCCUUUACUUUUUUGAAUUGUUAAGAACUUACUAUAUUCUCUUUUUUGUUUUUCUAUUCUUUUUCCCGUUUCUUCCCCUCCCCUCUCUCUCUCUCGCGCAAAAUCAAUUGGUGUAAGCACAGAAAAACAUAUUAGGAUUUAUCAAUUGCAUAUCAAAUCCCAGAAGUUUAGAUUUCUUCCCAUGGACCCAAUUCUCAUAAACAAUCGUUCCUGUGCAAAAAAAUUUCUGAUGUGGUGAGCAAUUUUUUUUUCCAAUUUUGUAAAUUAGUUUUGUAUAGCUGCAGAUGCAGAGAUUGUUUUAAAUAGGAGAGAGAAGUUAUUGGUUUAGAGAUAAAAGGAUUUUGGG
This 717-nucleotide long non-coding RNA is filed under the name Jatropha curcas. RNAcentral describes it as "long non-coding RNA (JCUR_LNC002311)". The record is from RNAcentral. Lineage: Eukaryota; Viridiplantae; Streptophyta; Magnoliopsida; Malpighiales; Euphorbiaceae.